AGUGAACGCUGGCGGUAGGCCUAACACAUGCAAGUCGAACGGCAGCACAGUAAGAGCUUGCUCUUACGGGUGGCGAGUGGCGGACGGGUGAGGAAUACAUCGGAAUCUACUUUUUCGUGGGGGAUAACGUAGGGAAACUUACGCUAAUACCGCAUACGACCUACGGGUGAAAGCAGGGGAUCUUCGGACCUUGCGCGAUUGAAUGAGCCGAUGUCGGAUUAGCUAGUUGGCUGGGUAAAGGCCCACCAAGGCGACGAUCCGUAGCUGGUCUGAGAGGAUGAUCAGCCACACUGGAACUGAGACACGGUCCAGACUCCUACGGGAGGCAGCAGUGGGGAAUAUUGGACAAUGGGCGCAAGCCUGAUCCAGCAAUACCGCGUGGGUGAAGAAGGCCUUCGGGUUGUAAAGCCCUUUUGUUGGGAAAGAAAAGCAGCAGGUUAAUACCCCGCUGUUCUGACGGUACCCAAAGAAUAAGCACCGGCUAACUUCGUG
This 492-nucleotide ribosomal RNA is filed under the name uncultured bacterium. RNAcentral's name for it is "partial 16S ribosomal RNA". It matches the Rfam family "Bacterial small subunit ribosomal RNA", at positions 29 to 507 of the family's 1533-position model. The record is from RNAcentral.